AUGUCCAUUUGCAUGAAGUUAGGCCAGCAUCAGAAUAUCCGUAGCCUUUUUGAGGAGAUGAAGGUGAAGAAUAUUAAGCCGGAUAACCUCACAUGUUUCCUUCCAAUGACCAGCCGUGUGGCAUUGAACAAGAUAAAUGUUGUUGGAGAAGUUUUAGAAGAAAUGCAAGAAAAGGAUGUAGUUCUAGGGUGGUAUGCAUAUAGCAUGGUUUCUAUCUACCUGAGUGCUGGUUUGGUUUUAAAAAACAGUCCGCUCUCAAGAAACUCGAGGGCCUUGAUUUUAGAAGGUAACAUAAAUAUCUAG
Molecule: ribosomal RNA, 303 nt
Filed under: Triticum aestivum (bread wheat)
Lineage: Eukaryota; Viridiplantae; Streptophyta; Magnoliopsida; Poales; Poaceae
Description: partial small subunit ribosomal RNA
Source: RNAcentral